CAGGCAGGACAUCCACGAUGACAAUGACUGGCUUGCAAUCAACCUGGGUUCAUACUCCGAGUACACAACCUAUUCGGAUCUCAAAGACUUCAACAUCUCAGGGGUGGCAGUUCUAGACUCCCUCUCACCAAACCAGAAAGCUGAAUUGAUACUGGACCCAAGCACUGGCGCUCUGGAGAAUGAGACUCUUGUGAAGAACGUUUUCAUCAGCUUGCUGGAAUCUCCAAGGGAAGAGCAGCUCAAUGAGUUCUUUGUGACUUUUGUUGAAGUCACCAAGCAGG
Oncorhynchus nerka (sockeye salmon) is the source of this 281-nucleotide long non-coding RNA. RefSeq lists it as uncharacterized. Lineage: Eukaryota; Metazoa; Chordata; Actinopteri; Salmoniformes; Salmonidae. The transcript is spliced from 2 exons. The record is from RefSeq and is a predicted model, not a curated record.